UACAGAGGGUGCAAGCGUUGUUCGGAAUUAUUGGGCGUAAAGGGCGCGUAGGCGGCCUUCUAAGUCAGACGUGAAAUCCCCCCGGCUUAACCUGGGAACUGCGUCUGAUACUGGAGGGCUUGAGUAUGGGAGAGGGAUGUAGAAUUCCAGGUGUAGCGGUGAAAUGCGUAGAUAUCUGGAGGAAUACCGGUGGCGAAGGCGGCAUCCUGGACCAUUACUGACGCUGAGGCGCGAAAGCUAGGGGAGCAAACGGG
RNAcentral lists this ribosomal RNA (254 nucleotides) under uncultured bacterium. RNAcentral's name for it is "partial 16S ribosomal RNA". It matches the Rfam family "Bacterial small subunit ribosomal RNA", at positions 524 to 776 of the family's 1533-position model. The record is from RNAcentral.